CCUUUUCCGGUUGAUCCCGCCGGACCUCACUGCUAUCGAGGUGGGACUAAGCCAUGCUAGUCGAACGACCCGAACUAUGUCGGGGAGUGGCAUACUGCUCAAUAACACGUAGCUAACCUAACCUUAGGACGGGAAAAACCCCGGGAAACUGGGGCUAAUAUCCGAUAGGUGUGAUGUCCUGGAAUGGUAUCACGCCCAAAAGUGACAAUAGCAUGUUAUUAUCAUGCCUUAGGAUGGGGCUGCGGCCGAUCAGGCUGUUGGUGAGGUAACGGCUCACCAAACCUUUGACCGGUACGGGCCAUGAGAGUGGUAGCCCGGAGAUGGGCACUGAGAUAAGGGCCCAGGCCCUACGGGGCGCAGCAGGCGCGAAACCUCCUCAAUGCACACACGUGCGAAGGGGUUACCUCGAGUGCUGUCUGAAGAAGGCGGCUUUUCCUUGGUGUAACUAGCCAUGGGAAUAAGAGGGGGGCAAGACUGGUGUCAGCCGCCGCGGUAACACCAGCCCCUCGAGUGGUGGGGAUGAUUAUUUGGCCUAAAGCGUCCGUAGCCGGCCGGGUUAGUCCCCCGUUAAAUCCAGCGUCUCAAGCGUUGGACUGCGGGAGAUACUGCCCGGCUAGAGAGUGGGAGAGGUCAACGGUAUUCUGGGGGUAGGGGCGAAAUCCUUUGAUCCCCGGAGGACCACCAGUGGCGAAGGCUGUUGACUAGAACACGUCUGACGGUCAGGGACGAAAGCUGGGGUAGCGAACCGGAUUAGAUACCCGGGUAGUCCCAGCCGUAAACGAUGCACGCUAGGUGUUGGGUCGGCCAUGAGCCGCCCCAGUGCCGCAGGGAAGCCAUUAAGCGUGCCGCCUGGGGAGUACGGCCGCAAGGCUGAAACUUAAAGGAAUUGGCGGGGGAGCACCACCAGGCGUGAAGCCUGCGGUUUAAUUGGAUUCAACGCCGGGAAGGGGG
This 951-nucleotide ribosomal RNA is filed under the name uncultured archaeon. RNAcentral describes it as "bacterial SSU rRNA". It matches the Rfam family "Archaeal small subunit ribosomal RNA", at positions 1 to 929 of the family's 1478-position model. The record is from RNAcentral.